RNAcentral lists this ribosomal RNA (173 nucleotides) under Ophiopogon revolutus. Its description in RNAcentral is "5.8S ribosomal RNA". The stretch from base 1 to 153 matches the Rfam family "5.8S ribosomal RNA". From Rfam's summary of the family: 5.8S ribosomal RNA (5.8S rRNA) is a component of the large subunit of the eukaryotic ribosome. It is transcribed by RNA polymerase I as part of the 45S precursor that also contains 18S and 28S rRNA. The record is from RNAcentral. Lineage: Eukaryota; Viridiplantae; Streptophyta; Magnoliopsida; Asparagales; Asparagaceae.
UCUCGGCAACGGAUAUCUUGGCUCUCGCAUCGAUGAAGAACGUAGCGAAAUGCGAUACUUGGUGUGAAUUGCAGAAUCCCGUGAACCAUCGAGUCUUUGAACGCAAGUUGCGCCCGAGGCUAUCCGGCCGAGGGCACGCCUGCCUGGGCGUCACGCCUAGCGUCGCUCCGCGC